Molecule: non-coding RNA, 18 nt
Filed under: Arabidopsis thaliana (thale cress)
Lineage: Eukaryota; Viridiplantae; Streptophyta; Magnoliopsida; Brassicales; Brassicaceae
Source: RNAcentral
CUUAGAAAAGUGCCCAAU